UUCAGGGGUCGCCGGUAGCCAAAGGAGACCGGUGGCCUGGAGGGCCGCUAGGCGGACCUGUCUGGGGGGACAGUUCACUGUCUCGGGACGCCAUCUCCGCUCGGGGCCCAGUUGGGAAAGGAUGGACCCCGGGCCGCGUGUGCCUCAUCAGCGGAUGUGGUGGAAAUGUCAGCUGGACGCGGCAAGGUCACCGUCUGUCCACGGGACGGGGCGAAAGCAGUGACCUCCAUUACUGCCGGGGGAAAGGUUGGGGACCAGAUGAGGCAGGUCACGGGGACCCACAAGUCUCACUGGAACUGCCCUGGCAGCUGCUCCCUGAACCAAGACCCCAGCAGUGAAGAAACAGGCAGGAAGAAAACCAGAAGAAUGUGGGGGAGAACAGGGAGACGGAUUUUCCCGCUUGAUCACUCAGAGAGAGGGUUGAGAUAAGAACUCAAAGGAGAAGAAAUAAAUGAAGUAUUUGCAACACUAUCCACUCACCCGGGGCCACGGCGAUAUGCAUUAUGGAGGAAUAUUUAUUUAUUUCUUCCUGAUUUCAUGCAAUAGGGUUCAAUUAUGAAUUUGAUUGCUUUGGGUGGGGGGGGCCCGAUAGAAAAUCCUUUAUCCUGGCUGCAUUUAAUUGUGUUCCGUGGCCGAUCUGGCAUUUAUCAUUGCCCCUGCUGUCCCCUAGUCCAAAAGAUAAACCAUCCUAGGGGUAAUAAAUGUCAGACUAUGAUUA
Ornithorhynchus anatinus (platypus) is the source of this 718-nucleotide long non-coding RNA. RefSeq lists it as uncharacterized. NCBI's taxonomy places the organism in Eukaryota, Metazoa, Chordata, Mammalia, Monotremata, Ornithorhynchidae. The record is from RefSeq and is a predicted model, not a curated record. The transcript has 3 exons.